Molecule: ribosomal RNA, 462 nt
Filed under: uncultured bacterium
Lineage: Bacteria
Description: partial 16S ribosomal RNA
Rfam family: Bacterial small subunit ribosomal RNA
Source: RNAcentral
GACGAACGCUGGCGGCGUGCUUAACACAUGCAAGUCGAACGGAAAGGCCCUUCGGGGUACUCGAGUGGCGAACGGGUGAGUAACACGUGGGUGAUCUGCCCUGCACUUUGGGAUAAGCCUGGGAAACUGGGUCUAAUACCGAAUAGGACCACGCGCUUCAUGGUGUGUGGUGGAAAGCUUUUGCGGUGUGGGAUGGGCCCGUGGCCUAUCAGCUUGUUGGUGGGGUAAUGGCCUACCAAGGCGACGACGGGUAGCCGGCCUGAGAGGGUGACCGGCCACACUGGGACUGAGAUACGGCCCAGACUCCUACGGGAGGCAGCAGUGGGGAAUAUUGCACAAUGGGCGCAAGCCUGAUGCAGCGACGCCGCGUGAGGGAUGACGGCCUUCGGGUUGUAAACCUCUUUCAAUAGGGACGAAGCGAAAGUGACGGUACCUAUAGAAGAAGCUCCGGCCAACUACGUG